AUUGAACGCUGGCGGCAGGCUUAACACAUGCAAGUCGAGCGGGGGAAGGUAGCUUGCUACCGGACCUAGCGGCGGACGGGUGAGUAAUGCUUAGGAAUCUGCCUAUUAGUGGGGGACAACAUCUCGAAAGGGAUGCUAAUACCGCAUACGUCCUACGGGAGAAAGCAGGGGAUCUUCGGACCUUGCGCUAAUAGAUGAGCCUAAGUCGGAUUAGCUAGUUGGUGGGGUAAAGGCCUACCAAGGCGACGAUCUGUAGCGGGUCUGAGAGGAUGAUCCGCCACACUGGGACUGAGACACGGCCCAGACUCCUACGGGAGGCGGCAGUGGGGAAUAUUGGACAAUGGGGGGAACCCUGAUCCAGCCAUGCCGCGUGUGUGAAGAAGGCCUUAUGGUUGUAAAGCACUUUAAGCGAGGAGGAGGCUACUUUAGUUAAUACCUAGAGAUAGUGGACGUUACUCGCAGAAUAAGCACCGGCAAACUCUGUGCCAGCAGCCGCCGUAA
This 501-nucleotide ribosomal RNA is filed under the name uncultured bacterium. Its description in RNAcentral is "partial 16S ribosomal RNA". It matches the Rfam family "Bacterial small subunit ribosomal RNA", at positions 30 to 523 of the family's 1533-position model. The record is from RNAcentral.